RNAcentral lists this ribosomal RNA (481 nucleotides) under Flavobacterium sp. 01WB04.3-12. Its description in RNAcentral is "bacterial SSU rRNA". It matches the Rfam family "Bacterial small subunit ribosomal RNA", at positions 18 to 500 of the family's 1533-position model. Lineage: Bacteria; Pseudomonadati; Bacteroidota; Flavobacteriia; Flavobacteriales; Flavobacteriaceae. The record is from RNAcentral.
CCCUGCUCAGGAUGAACGCUAGCGGCAGGCUUAACACAUGCAAGUCGAGGGGUAUAUUUCUUCGGAGAUAGAGACCGGCGCACGGGUGCGUAACGCGUAUGCAAUCUACCUUUUACAGAGGGAUAGCCCAGAGAAAUUUGGAUUAAUACCUCAUAGCAUUGCAGGAUGGCAUCAUUCAGCAAUUAAAGUCACAACGGUAAAAGAUGAGCAUGCGUCCCAUUAGCUAGUUGGUAAGGUAACGGCUUACCAAGGCUACGAUGGGUAGGGGUCCUGAGAGGGAGAUCCCCCACACUGGUACUGAGACACGGACCAGACUCCUACGGGAGGCAGCAGUGAGGAAUAUUGGACAAUGGGCGCAAGCCUGAUCCAGCCAUGCCGCGUGCAGGAUGACGGUCCUAUGGAUUGUAAACUGCUUUUAUACGAGAAGAAACACUACUUCGUGAAGUAGCUUGACGGUAUCGUAAGAAUAAGGAUCGGCUAA